Molecule: long non-coding RNA, 229 nt
Filed under: Theobroma cacao (cacao)
Lineage: Eukaryota; Viridiplantae; Streptophyta; Magnoliopsida; Malvales; Malvaceae
Description: long non-coding RNA (TCAC_LNC006378)
Source: RNAcentral
CAUUCCAACCAGCCAUGAAUUCAUCAUGAAAACAUGUAAUUUAACCAUGGAAAAUGAGGAGAAAUGCAUGGGAAAGGUAGAUCACAAGUCAAAAUCAAGAAAUUUUACCUUUUGUCACUUGUUUCCUUGAAUUUCCCACACUUUUCUCUUGAAAUUCUUCACCUAGGGUUUUUGUUUUUCUUUUCUCCCUUUGUUCUUCUUUGUUCUCGGUUUGGCCGGCCAUAUGAAA